CCUACGGGAUGCAGCAGUGAGGAAUAUUGGUCAAUGGACGCAAGUCUGAACCAGCAACGCCGCGUGAAGGAAGAAGGCUUUCGGGUUGUAAACUUCUUUUCUCAGGGACGAAGAAAGUGACGGUACCUGAUGACUAAGCCAAGGCUAACUACGUGCCAGCAGCCGCGGUAAUACGUAGGUGGCAAGCGUUAUCCGGAUUUAUUGGGUGUAAAGGGCGUGUAGGCGGGAGCGCAAGUCAGAUGUGAAAACUCAGGGCUCAACGCUGAGCCUGCAUUUGAAACUGUGUGUCUUGAGUGCUGGAGAGGCAAUCGGAAUUCCGGGUGUAGCGGUGAAAUGCGUAGAUAUACGGAGGAACACCAGUGGCGAAGGCGGAUUGCUGGACAGUAACUGACGCUGAGGCGCGAAAGCGUGGGGAGCAAACAGGAUUAGAUACCCUUGUAGUC
Molecule: ribosomal RNA, 443 nt
Filed under: uncultured bacterium
Lineage: Bacteria
Description: partial 16S ribosomal RNA
Rfam family: Bacterial small subunit ribosomal RNA
Source: RNAcentral